Molecule: transfer RNA, 72 nt
Filed under: Camelus bactrianus (Bactrian camel)
Lineage: Eukaryota; Metazoa; Chordata; Mammalia; Artiodactyla; Camelidae
Also listed under: 2 other names
Rfam family: tRNA
About the family: Transfer RNA (tRNA) molecules are approximately 80 nucleotides in length. Their secondary structure includes four short double-helical elements and three loops (D, anti-codon, and T loops).
Source: Rfam by way of RNAcentral
GCAGGUAUAGCUCAGUGGUAGAACAUAUGCUUAACUUGCAUGAGGUCCUGUGUUUAAUCCCCAGUACCUCCA